This 251-nucleotide ribosomal RNA is filed under the name uncultured prokaryote. RNAcentral describes it as "partial 16S rRNA". It matches the Rfam family "Bacterial small subunit ribosomal RNA", at positions 525 to 775 of the family's 1533-position model. The record is from RNAcentral.
ACGUAGGUGGCAAGCGUUGUCCGGAUUUAUUGGGCGUAAAGCGAGCGCAGGCGGUUUCUUAAGUCUGAUGUGAAAGCCUUCGGCUCAACCGAAGAAGUGCAUCUGAAACUGGAGAACUUGAGUGUAGAAGAGGACAGUGGAACUCCAUGUGUAGCGGUGAAAUGCAUAGAUAUAUGGAAGAACACCAAUGGCGAAGGCAGCUGACUGGUCUGCAACUGACGCUGAGGCUCGAAAGCAUGGGUAUCAAACAG